UACGGGGGGGGCAAGCGUUGUUCGGAAUUACUGGGCGUAAAGGCUCGUAGGCGGCCAACUAAGUCAGACGUGAAAUCCCUCGGCUUAACCGGGGAACUGCGUCUGAUACUGGAUGGCUUGAGGUUGGGAGAGGGAUGCGGAAUUCCAGGUGUAGCGGUGAAAUGCGUAGAUAUCUGGAGGAACACCGGUGGCGAAGGCGGGUCUCUGGGCCGAUAUUGACGCUGAGGAGCGAAAGCGUGGGGAGCGAACAGG
RNAcentral lists this ribosomal RNA (252 nucleotides) under uncultured bacterium. RNAcentral's name for it is "partial 16S ribosomal RNA". It matches the Rfam family "Bacterial small subunit ribosomal RNA", at positions 524 to 776 of the family's 1533-position model. The record is from RNAcentral.